UAUUGAUUAGGGUCAAUGUAACCAUCUGCUCUGAUCAGUAGCUACAAAUGGAUCUCAGAUGCUGUCCCCCAGCUUUCUUCAAUUAAGCUGGGAGGAAGCCAGUUCCCAUGGCAGUGCUUUUAAGGACUGAUAAGGGCACUUGUAGCCUUCUGAGGGCCUUGAUCCAAGAAGCAUUAGCAGGAGUGGGGAGUGUGGUGGCAGUAUCAUUGUCAUUUUCAACAAUGGAAACUUUCACAAGGAGUACACCCACAAGAGAGCAAGAAGGAAGGAGAAUGAUCUUAAUGUGCCUAUUUCAAGGGGGAAAAAAAAGUUACGAGGCAUCAUAGAAAUACUUUCAUAAACAAAGAAAUUCAGUACAUCCGCCACAGCCUACAAAAG
Molecule: long non-coding RNA, 378 nt
Filed under: Numida meleagris (helmeted guineafowl)
Lineage: Eukaryota; Metazoa; Chordata; Aves; Galliformes; Numididae
Description: lncRNA (ENSNMEG00000023069.1)
Source: RNAcentral